GGAAAUGUGGCUUUUAAUAGCUCGUGAGUCAGAGCAAGGCAUGCCUGUGCUGCAGGCAAGCAGCUGCGCUGCUGCAGUGUGUGGACGGACCCAGGGGACUGCUGGAGGCUCCCAUGCCAGGACCAGGCAGGGCUCAGCCCAGAUUGUAAUCUCCUCUCGGAUGUCAAACUAACCCAGAUAAUAAAACAGCUUGAGUCUCAAGACGUUCCCCAGAGAGAAAUGUAUG
Molecule: long non-coding RNA, 226 nt
Filed under: Anser brachyrhynchus (Pink-footed goose)
Lineage: Eukaryota; Metazoa; Chordata; Aves; Anseriformes; Anatidae
Description: lncRNA (ENSABRG00000015978.1)
Source: RNAcentral